CGGUAAUUCCAGCUCCAAUAGCGUAUACUAAAGUUGUUGCAGUUAAAAAGCUCGUAGUUGGAUUUCUGCGGGGACGGAGCGGCCGGACGCAACUUGCGUCUCGAGCUAGCGCUUUCCCCGCAUCCUGCCGCGAACCGUGCUACCAUUAGUUUGGUGGCGCUGGGGAUCGGCUCGAUUACUUUGAGAAAAAUAGAGUGUUCAAAGCAGGCCACACGCCUUGAAUAAGUUAGCAUGGAAUAAUGACUAAGGACUUCGGUUCUAUUUUGUUGGUGUUCGGGACUGAAGUAAUGAUUGAUAGGGACAGUUGGGGCGGUCUGUAUUCCAAAGCGAGAGGUGAAAUUCUUAGACCUUCGGAAGACAAACAGCUGCGAAAGCGUUCCGCAAGGAUGUUCCCUUUGAUCAAGAACGAAAGUUGGGGGAUCGAAGACGAUCAGAUACCGUCGUAGUCUCAACUAUAAACUAUACCAGCUAGGGAUCGGUCAACGUUUAAUUAUUCGACUUGAUCGGCACCUUAUGAGAAAUCAAAGCAUCUGGGUUCCGGGGGGAGUAUGGUCGCAAGGCUGAAACUUAAAGGAAUUGACGGAAGGGCACCACCAGCCGUGGAGCCUGUGGCUUAAUUUGACUCAACACGGGAAAACUUACCAGGUCCAGACAUAGUAAGGAUUGACAGAUUGAUAGCUCUUUCUUGAUUCUGUGGGUGGUGGUGCAUGGCCGUUCUUAGUUGGUGGAGUGAUUUGUCUGGUUAAUUCCGUUAACGAACGAGACCCCAGCCUGCUAAAUAGCGCGGCUGAGCUUUGCUCGGUGCGAGCUUCUUAGAGGGACUAUGAUGCGCGAUAGCACAUGGAAGUUUGGGGCAAUACCGGGUCUGUGAUGCCCUUAGAUGUUCUGGUCCGCACACGGGCUACACUGGCGCCUGCAACGAGCAUAUCAGCUGGCCCGAGAGGGUCUUGGCUAAUCUUUUGAACCGGCGCCGUGCUUGGGAUUGACCUUUGCAAUUGUUGGUCAUGCAACGAGGAAUGCCUUGUAAACGCGAGUCAUCAGCUCGCAUUGAAUACGUCCCUGCCCUUUGUACACACCGCCCGUCGCUCCUACCGAUGAAUGUUCCGAUGAAAUUUUCGGAGAGCGCCAGAGAACGGGGCUCUGCCUUGCAGAUCUGGAGGCUCAAAGUCACUUAAAUCUGAACAUUUCGAGGAAGGAGAAGUCGUAACAAGGUAACC
This 1217-nucleotide ribosomal RNA is filed under the name uncultured Rhizaria. Its description in RNAcentral is "SSU rRNA". It matches the Rfam family "Eukaryotic small subunit ribosomal RNA", at positions 577 to 1804 of the family's 1831-position model. The record is from RNAcentral.